GGCAAGGGCGCAUGCUUUAACAUGCAAGUCGAACGGUAACAGGCCGCAAGGUGCUGACGAGUGGCGAACGGGUGAGUAAUGCAUCGGAACGUGCCCAGUCGUGGGGGAUAACGCAGCGAAAGCUGCGCUAAUACCGCAUACGAUCUAUGGAUGAAAGCGGGGGACCGUAAGGCCUCGCGCGAUUGGAGCGGCCGAUGUCAGAUUAGGUAGUUGGUGGGGUAAAGGCUCACCAAGCCGACGAUCUGUAGCUGGUCUGAGAGGACGACCAGCCACACUGGGACUGAGACACGGCCCAGACUCCUACGGGAGGCAGCAGUGGGGAAUUUUGGACAAUGGGGGCAACCCUGAUCCAGCAAUGCCGCGUGCAGGAAGAAGGCCUUCGGGUUGUAAACUGCUUUUGUACGGAACGAAACGGCUCUGGUUAAUACCCGGGGCUAAUGACGGUACCGUAAGAAUAAGCACCGGCUAACUACGUGCCAGCAGCCGCGGUAAUACGUAGGGUGCAAGCGUUAAUCGGAAUUACUGGGCGUAAAGCGUGCGCAGGCGGUGCUGUAAGACAGGCGUGAAAUCCCCGGGCUUAACCUGGGAAUGGCGCUUGUGACUGCAGUGCUGGAGUGCGGCAGAGGGGGAUGGAAUUCCG
Molecule: ribosomal RNA, 640 nt
Filed under: Hydrogenophaga sp.
Lineage: Bacteria; Pseudomonadati; Pseudomonadota; Betaproteobacteria; Burkholderiales; Comamonadaceae
Description: bacterial SSU rRNA
Rfam family: Bacterial small subunit ribosomal RNA
Source: RNAcentral